UUUUUUUUAGUACUUUGUAUUGCUUUUUUUUUAUUUUUUUAUUUUUUAUACUUUAGUGAUUGCUUUGCUUUAUUUAGUUUUUUGAGUAUCAUAGCCAAAUUUGAAUUUAACAAUUCAUGUCCUUCAUUAAGAUUGGGACGCCAACAGUUUCAUAGGAAGUGGAAGACUCUAAAUAUUAAGGGGGCGUUUGGUACCUUAUUUAAAUAAGGAACUCAAAAACUUUGAUUUUUCUUAAAAACAAGGAGUUCUUAAAUCUAUUUUUAAGAUUCAAAAACUUGUUUGGUAUGCAACUUAAAAACUG
RNAcentral lists this long non-coding RNA (301 nucleotides) under Prunus persica (peach). Its description in RNAcentral is "long non-coding RNA (PPER_LNC005115)". The record is from RNAcentral. Lineage: Eukaryota; Viridiplantae; Streptophyta; Magnoliopsida; Rosales; Rosaceae.